AUUGUAGCAAUACAGUCAGUGGCGGACGGGUGAGUAAUGUAUCGCUAACGUACCCUGGACUCUGGGAUAGCUAAUCGAAAGGUUAGGUAAUACCAGAUGAGACCACAAGCCGGCAUCGGCUGGUGCUCAAAGGUCCGCCGGUCUGGGAGCGGGCGAUAUCGUAUCAGCUAGUUGGUGAGGUAACGGCUCACCAAGGCGAUGACGCGUAACUGGUCUGAGAGGACGGCCAGUCACAUCGGGACUGAGACACUGCCCGGACUCCUACGGGGGGCUGCAGUAACGAAUCUUCCCCAAUGCACGCAAGUGUGAGGGAGCGACGCCGCGUGUAGGACGAAGUCCUUCGGGAUGUAAACUACUGUCAGGGGAUACCAAGUUCUGAGGAUCCCCAGAGGAAGAGGCGGCUAACUCUGUGCCAGCAGCCGCGGUAAUACAGAGGCCUCAAGCGUUAGGCGGAAUCACUGGGCUUAAAGCGCGUGUAGGUGGACUUUUAAGUGCUUUGUGAAAUCCCACGGCUCAACCGUGGAACUGCUGGGCAUACUGGAAGUCUUGGGCUAUCUAGGGGCAACCGGAACAAGCGGUGGAGCGGUGAAAUGCGUAGAUAUCGCUUGGAACGCCAAAGGUGAAGACAGGUUGCUGGAGAUAUGCCGACACUGAGACGCGAAAGCCAGGGGAGCAAACGGGAUUAGAUACCCCGGUAGUCCUGGCCCUAAACGAUGUCCACUGGAUCGCGGUUCCUUGACGGGAUUCGCGGUCGGAGCAAAAGUGUUAAGUGGACCGCCUGGGAAGUACGGUCGCAAGGCUAAAACUCAAAGGAAUUGAC
This 820-nucleotide ribosomal RNA is filed under the name uncultured Aquificia bacterium. Its description in RNAcentral is "bacterial SSU rRNA". It matches the Rfam family "Bacterial small subunit ribosomal RNA", at positions 73 to 914 of the family's 1533-position model. The record is from RNAcentral. Lineage: Bacteria; Pseudomonadati; Aquificota; Aquificia.